AUGAUCGUGGAAAAGUACUUCCGCGAGUCGCAUCCUGAAAUCGAGCCUGCGCCAACGCGUCUACUCUCCACAGGACCAACAGCACCCACAUCCUCUCGACGCUCGGUUCGCCGCGCAGGUGGAGGCAGCGCUCUCGUGGCCAGAAGCGGGACGAAUCGACGAUUCCGGCGGCCUGCCGGCGGUGACGACCGGAUCAGCGCCCUCCACGAUGAUCUGCUCCUCCUCGUCCUGCGACGCGUCGACUCGCGCACGGCGCUCCGCACAGGGCUGCUAUCCAGUCGCUGGGCGCGCCUCCCACGCGAGCUCCCUGCCCUCGACUUGAGGGUCGGCGACAUACUGCCGCGGCGCUACCGCCGAUGGGUCCUCCUCCACAGCCACAUUUAUCACAAGGGAACUUAUAUACCGUACAGACUCGACGGCAUAAAGGAGCAGCUCAUGCCUAACAUCAGGAGAUACCAGCGCCGCGCCAUGCGCGCCUUGUCCAGAUCCGUUAAUAGCCUCUUGGACGCCGACGACAGCGCCCAAGCUCGCCGGAAAGUUGAUAGGCUGAGGCUCGAGUUCUUCAUCACCCACAACACAGCCUGCAUGAACCGGCUAAUUUCCAAGGCCAUGGAUGCUUGGGGGAUCAAUGAACUCGAGGCUGUUGCUAAGCCAACUCACUGGCAUCAAACAGUCCACACUUUUCCCAGCCAUGGCCUCUGCCAAGAUCCCCGCUCCUCAUCCCUGAGGAGCCUUAAGCUUGGAGGUUGCCUGCUCCGGCCGCUGCACGACUACAGCGCGCUCUCUACGCUCGUCCUGCAAGACAUACCGGAGUUGUCCGGGGCAGCCUACGAGGGCAUCUUCACCUCGUGCACGCGGCUACUCGUGCUGCACCUCCACUCCUGCAGUUGCACUCAGGACAAGGUCGUGGUGGUGGUGGAUGCCCCCAGCUCAGAGAUCGGAGAGCUCGUCGUCCACGAGUGCAAAUUCUCGAUGUGCCUCAGGGCACUUCCCAAACUCGAGAGCCUAGCCUCGAUCGAGACCGGAGUGCACUUCGAAUCAACUUCAUUCCCCUGCCUCAGGCGAUGGAACCUCGCAUGUAACAUCGGUGUCAGAUUGGACGGAUUGCGCCAAUACUUUGCGCGGCACCUAGAACUGGAUUUGUUUCUUGAAUGCACCCCGGAUAUAAGCGACAUGAUUAUCCGCUUCACCGGACCUGACAGAUGGAUCGAGCCGUCUAGCUCCCCGUCGUCAUUACUGUUACCUAACCUCAGGCGGCUGCUGGCCGCCGAUGUGCCUUCGUCCUGGGAUGUGUCAUGGCCCCGUCUUCUCCUUGAGGUGGCACCCUCCCUCGAGAUCUUCCACAUUCACAUUGCCCCUUGCAUGGAGGAGCCGGGCGAUGAGAUAUCAUGGCAGCCCGCAAAGCUUCGGCGGCAUCACCUCAAGGAAUUUGUAAUGGCUGGUUUUGAGGGGACGGAAAGGCAGAUUUACCUAGUCAAGUUUGUCAUGGGAGUAUGUACGGCAUUGCGCCGUGUCGCCAUGUUCAAGAGUGGACAUGCUCUGGAUAAGGGGCACUGGGACUGGGAGAUGGUGACGCACCAAAGCACAUGGACUGAAGAAGAGAAGGGCUCGUUGCUGGAGCAGAUCACGGGUGGGGUUUCUUCCUCCACAACUCCUGUUCAACUCAACUUCGGCUGA
Molecule: ribosomal RNA, 1677 nt
Filed under: Triticum aestivum (bread wheat)
Lineage: Eukaryota; Viridiplantae; Streptophyta; Magnoliopsida; Poales; Poaceae
Description: partial small subunit ribosomal RNA
Source: RNAcentral